GUGAGAACCACCACCUUUUUACUGGAGCUAAAAACUCAGCCACCGUGGCUUGGAGGACAGUUCUGGAGAAGAUGGACCAACAGGGGAAGGUCACACCCUUGCAGGCCCAAAAGAAAAGUGGGACAAUAUGAAAA
Girardinichthys multiradiatus is the source of this 134-nucleotide long non-coding RNA. RefSeq lists it as uncharacterized. NCBI's taxonomy places the organism in Eukaryota, Metazoa, Chordata, Actinopteri, Cyprinodontiformes, Goodeidae. The transcript has 2 exons. The record is from RefSeq and is a predicted model, not a curated record.